Molecule: RNA transcript, 3262 nt
Organism: Dicentrarchus labrax (European seabass)
Lineage: Eukaryota; Metazoa; Chordata; Actinopteri; Moronidae
Gene: dennd10
Gene name: DENN domain containing 10
Exons: 11
Source: RefSeq, a predicted model, not a curated record
GGUUGUCAGCAGCAUUCCCGGAAGAAGGAAGAGAUUUCGCACAGAGGAGGAAAACUCUGUUGACAGCAGGGAAUAUCAACCUUUACCACAUUCCCUGUCUUAUUAAACCCCCCCCCACCCCGCCAGCGCUGUUGCAUUCAGGGUUGUGGACCUCGCAGCCAGCUCUCAGGGUAUGGAACAUGGCAGCGACUGAAACGCAGCUUAUGUUAAGCGUCGGAUUAAUCGAGAAAGAUGUGAAUGGAGACACUCUGUGGGUGUGGUGCUAUCCCUCCGUGAGCUCCGACCUGAGGAAAGUCCUGCUCAGCAAGUGCUGUCUGACGCAGGACGGCCGGGACUUCCACACCUUUGUGUUCGGUCAGUUCUGUCGUACCUGGUACUACAUCACCACGGUGGAGGUGCAGGAGCCCACAGCGCUGAACAAGGUCACUCAUUUUUCAAUAGUUGUUACAGCUAAAGACUUCAACCCGGAGAAGUACGCUGCACUCAGUAGGAUCCUCUGCAGGAUGUACAUCAAACACGGCAGUCCGGUGAAGAUGAUGGAGGCGUAUGUGACCGUCCUCACCAAAGGAAUCUGCCAGAGUGAUGAAAACGGCUCGUUUCUAAUUAAGGACUAUGACGUCCGGAAGGCGUACCUGGCCGGUUCGGUCAAAGAUGUGGUGUCCCAGUUCGGUAUGGAGACCAUCAUCCUGUAUACCGCUCUCAUGCUGAAGAAGAGGAUCGUUGUCCAUCACCCUCGGAUUGAAGCGUUGUUGGAGUUUACAAGAGUCCUGCCCACUCUGACAUGGCACAGGAAAGACUGGUCCAUCCUGCACCCGUAUGUGCACCUGACUGACACCGAGCUAGAGGAUCUGAAGAAAUGCCCUGGAUACAUAGCAGGCUUCGUGGAUCCAGAAGUGAGCAACAGAUCGGACUUGUUUGAUGUAUACGUGAACCUCCCAGACAGCGUUAUCACGGUGUCCCAGAGUGCCAAAGAGGCCCUGGCUAUGGGGAAGCUACACAAGGAAGUCGGCCACCUCAUUGUGCAGUCUGCGGAGGAUGCCGAGAGGUCGGACAGCCAGGUCAUUAAGGAUAUUUCUGUGAAGACUAAAGAGAUCCUUGCCAACUUGGUGGCCCUGGCGGACGAGUGCGAAGACUCUAAAAUCACAUUGGAAGGUUUAAAGCAGCAUCAUUUCCCUCCGGCGACAGAGAACUUCCUCUUUCACUUGGCGGCUGCCGAGCAGCUCUUGCGGAUAUAAACCUGUGUUCAGACGCUGCGCUGCAGGAUGUCAACAGCUGUUUACUGUUGGUGUAUAUUUUGGGAUGAUUACUGUUUUCUGAAAGGCUCGUGCACGCUCUCACGGUUCUCCUGAGAGUGUGCACGAGCCGCUUUCUCACAGGAACCUUCACGUGAGGGAUUUGUGACUGUGUCUCAAAAACAGGGAUAAAGGGACACUGCCUCUUUGAUUUUUCACCCAUUGGAGCCUUCACCUCCUGCUGUAUGUGAGUGUGAUUGUGAAUCCGUGAGUGUGCGUGUCUAUCCAUGGAUGACUGAAUAAACCUUACAGAAAGCAUCGAUCAUACUUUAUCAUCAUACUCUUUAUUUUAAAGAACAGCCACCACAAACUGGCUUCCGUACAAGGACUUCGGACACUCUGGGCUGUAGGUAAAGAGGGACUCUGACCUCAACCUCCCCGUCAAACAAGGGCAGAGAUGUGAGGGCCUGACGCCUGAGGACUGAGGAUCGCUCACAGCUGUGAUCCAAAGAACCAGGUGGCAUAGACUCUGUCUUUCUGGUAAGUGCAUUCAGGGGGGCUCAGGGUCAUUGAUUCUCGCCACUUAGAGAGUGAGCUGUGACAGAUGUGUCAGCAAGGGCAGGCAGAGACUGCUGCAGAAUCACCAGAGCUUCAGGUUAAAGAGAUAUAGCCAGGAGACACUUGAGUCUGGGGCUCGUCUGAUGCAUUAAGUUGUGUGCAUGUGUGCGAAAGAAUUGUGUGAAAAAAGGAGUGAAUGAUGAAAGCAAAUUUCGAAAGAUUAAAGGGAUCUUCAUUUUAAUCUGUUAAUCAGUCUUUUCCGUAUGCAGUGAGCUUUAAGGUCCUUGUAAACAUACAAACUAUAAAUUUAAAAUAUUCUGAAACCAACAUCACUUCUGAGAGAACAACAAAGGAACAAUUCUGUGUUAGAGUGACUCUCAAACAACUUUAAAGGGACGCUGCCGCUUACUCCUACUGCUGUAUCUGAGUGAAUAAACGUUACAGAAAGACAAGAUCAUCCUUUGUAUGAUUUAUUUAAUAUAUAGCCACCACAAUAUUUCACAUUAAAACUGUGAGAAAAAGCUGCAUUUCAUCUUUGAGUCUGUUACAGGCUUUGUACAUUUGGACAUUUAUCAUGAGGCUUUACAGUGACGACAUCUCUAUCCGCUGUAGAACACAGCUCCUCAGAGUCCUCUAUGGUAGUAUAACUGUCCGUCGUACGCUGCUGCCUGCAGCUCGUCCUCUACGUCCUCCCUCCUUAUCUGUAAAAACAAGAUCAAUGUCAGCCGAGUUCAUCACAAGGAAAACAUCACAGCACGGGAGGACCAUGAAUCUUACCGUUCCCAGUUGUGGAAAGAGACUGAAUGAGACGGGGAUCGUUAAGAACAGAACCAAUGCACCACUCAGAGGACCGACCAGCGGAGAGUUCCUCAACGCAAAUCUGGUUCUGUAAAGGAAACUCUGUGAGGUGAAGUCUCAACAGGUGUGAUCUUGUGCCAGGUAAACAACUGAAUGUGAAACUGACCUCUUUAAGAGCGAAGACAGGACAAAAGGAACGGCACCGGUCGUACCAAACAGUGCCGCUCUUGACAACGCCGUCUCCCUCACAGCCUGAACGAAAAUAAAAACCAUUUAACGCCACGAGGGUUCAAUCAGACUUAUUUUUGCUUUUUAAAGACACAAACCUUUUCUCCUGCUGCUUCAGAGAGGCCGACGGGAUUCCCGCUGGAAUCAAACACUUGGAUCCCAGUUUCUGUCUCGUCACUUCUGACAAAGCUCACGUUGAUGUAGGCGAGAGCAGCUGGAGAGAGUUACACAACAAUGUGUAAUGAAGAUGUACCACUUUGUGUCUACCUUCAUUAAUAAUCACACUGGGUCCCAACCUUUUUCCUUAAAGGACCUCUUUUCUAUCGUUGAGUAAACUGACUAAGUGACAUAUUUUGUGGAUAUUUCAUAUUAUAUUCAAUACAUAACAGUAACAAUAGAGAAUGACUGAUCUGAUCUGUAGAAUAAAACUGUUUCUUCUGAUAAAA